AGUCAGGAUUACGGUUAGUUUU
Molecule: microRNA, 22 nt
Filed under: Ciona intestinalis (vase tunicate)
Lineage: Eukaryota; Metazoa; Chordata; Ascidiacea; Phlebobranchia; Cionidae
Description: cin-miR-4064-5p
Source: miRBase by way of RNAcentral